This 450-nucleotide ribosomal RNA is filed under the name uncultured bacterium. RNAcentral's name for it is "bacterial SSU rRNA". It matches the Rfam family "Bacterial small subunit ribosomal RNA", at positions 354 to 796 of the family's 1533-position model. The record is from RNAcentral.
GUGGGGAAUAUUGGACAAUGGGGGGAACCCUGAUCCAGCCAUGCCGCGUGUGUGAAGAAGGUCUUCGGAUUGUAAAGCACUUUAAGUUGGGAGGAAGGGUAGUAACCUAAUACGUUGCUACUUUGACGUUACCGACAGAAUAAGCACCGGCUAACUUCGUGCCAGCAGCCGCGGUAAUACGAAGGGUGCAAGCGUUAAUCGGAAUUACUGGGCGUAAAGCGCGCGUAGGUGGUUCAGUAAGUUGGAAGUGAAAUCCCCGGGCUCAACCUGGGAACUGCUUUCAAAACUGCUGAGCUAGAGUACGGUAGAGGGUGGUGGAAUUUCCUGUGUAGCGGUGAAAUGCGUAGAUAUAGGAAGGAACACCAGUGGCGAAGGCGACCACCUGGACUGAUACUGACACUGAGGUGCGAAAGCGUGGGGAGCAAACAGGAUUAGAUACCCUAGUAGUCC